This 733-nucleotide ribosomal RNA is filed under the name Pedobacter sp. C_OB2.51. RNAcentral's name for it is "bacterial SSU rRNA". It matches the Rfam family "Bacterial small subunit ribosomal RNA", at positions 8 to 740 of the family's 1533-position model. Lineage: Bacteria; Pseudomonadati; Bacteroidota; Sphingobacteriia; Sphingobacteriales; Sphingobacteriaceae. The record is from RNAcentral.
AGAGUUUGAUCAUGGCUCAGGAUGAACGCUAGCGGCAGGCCUAAUACAUGCAAGUCGAGGGGUAGAGUUAGCUUGCUAGCUUGAGACCGGCGCACGGGUGCGUAACGCGUAUGCAACCUACCUUAAUCAGGGGGAUAGCCCGAAGAAAUUCGGAUUAACACCGCAUAAAAUCACAGAAUAGCAUUAUUCAAUGAUCAAAUAUUUAUAGGAUUAAGAUGGGCAUGCGUGUCAUUAGCUAGUUGGCGGGGUAACGGCCCACCAAGGCGACGAUGACUAGGGGAUCUGAGAGGAUGACCCCCCACACUGGUACUGAGACACGGACCAGACUCCUACGGGAGGCAGCAGUAAGGAAUAUUGGUCAAUGGAGGCAACUCUGAACCAGCCAUGCCGCGUGCAGGAAGACUGCCCUAUGGGUUGUAAACUGCUUUUAUCUGGGAAUAAACCUAUUUACGUGUAAAUAGCUGAAUGUACCAGAAGAAUAAGGAUCGGCUAACUCCGUGCCAGCAGCCGCGGUAAUACGGAGGAUCCAAGCGUUAUCCGGAUUUAUUGGGUUUAAAGGGUGCGUAGGCGGCCUGUUAAGUCAGAGGUGAAAGACGGUAGCUCAACUAUCGCAGUGCCUUUGAUACUGAUGGGCUUGAAUGGACUAGAGGUAGGCGGAAUGAGACAAGUAGCGGUGAAAUGCAUAGAUAUGUCUCAGAACACCGAUUGCGAAGGCAGCUUACUAUGGUUUUAU